This 1343-nucleotide ribosomal RNA is filed under the name Clostridioides difficile. Its description in RNAcentral is "bacterial LSU rRNA". It matches the Rfam family "Bacterial large subunit ribosomal RNA", at positions 662 to 2023 of the family's 2925-position model. The record is from RNAcentral. Lineage: Bacteria; Bacillati; Bacillota; Clostridia; Peptostreptococcales; Peptostreptococcaceae.
GGAGCCGUAGCGAAAGCGAGUUUUAACUGAGCGUUCAGUUACUUGACGUAGACCCGAAACCGGGCGACCUACCCAUGAGCAGGAUGAAGCGAAAGUAAAAUUUCGUGGAGGUCCGAACCCACGAGCGUUGAAAAGCUCGGGGAUGACUUGUGGGUAGCGGUGAAAUUCCAAUCGAGCCCGGAGAUAGCUGGUUCUCCCCGAAAUAGCUUUAGGGCUAGCCUCAAGGUGAGAGAUACGGAGGUAGAGCACUGAAUGUCCUAGGGGGUAUUGCACCUACCGAAGACUAUCAAACUCCGAAUGCCGUCAUCUUAUACUUGGGAGUCAGACUGUGGGUGAUAAGAUUCAUAGUCGAAAGGGCAACAGCCCAGAUCGUCAGCUAAGGUCCCUAAAUGUAAGUUAAGUGGUAAAGGAUGUGGGAUUGCACAGACAACCAGGAUGUUGGCUUAGAAGCAGCCACUCAUUCAAAGAGUGCGUAAUAGCUCACUGGUCGAGUGAUCCUGCGCCGAAGAUUUCCGGGGCUAAAACUUACUACCGAAGCUACGGCAUCAGUAAUGAUGGGUAGGGGAGCUUCCCAUACGGGUUGAAGCAUGACCGUAAGGACAUGGGGACAGUAUGGGAGUGAGAAUGUUGGCAUGAGUAGCGAGAUGUGGGUGGGAAUCCCACAGGCCGUAAACCCAAGGUUUCCAGGGGAAGGUUCGUCCACCCUGGGUUAGUCGGGACCUAAGCUGAGGCCGAAAGGCGUAGGUGAUGGACAACAGGUUGAUAUUCCUGUACUACCGAUAACCGUUUGAGAGAAGGGAUGACACAGUAGGAUAAGCUAAGCACACUGUUGGUUAUGUGUGCCCAAGCAUUGAGGCAGUCAAAGUAGGCAAAUCCGCUUUGAUAAUGCUGGGAUGUGAUGGGGAGCGAAAUUUAGUAGCGAAGUAGCUGAUUUCACACUGUCAAGAAAAGUCUCUAUCGAGGUUAAAGGUACCCGUACCGCAAACCGACACAGGUGGGUGAGGAGAGUAUCCUAAGGCCAGCGAGAGAACUGUUGUUAAGGAACUCGGCAAAAUGACCCCGUAACUUAGGGAUAAGGGGUGCCACCAUCAGGUGGCCGCAGAGAAUAGGCCCAAGCGACUGUUUACCAAAAACAUAGGUUUCUGCUAAGUCGCAAGACGAUGUAUAGGAGCUGACGCCUGCCCGGUGCUGGAAGGUUAAGGGGAUCUGUUAGAGCAAUCGAAGCAGUGAACUUAAGCCCCAGUAAACGGCGGCCGUAACUAUAACGGUCCUAAGGUAGCGAAAUUCCUUGUCGGGUAAGUUCCGACCCGCACGAAAGGCGUAACGAUUUGGGCACUGUCUCA